Long non-coding RNA from Physeter macrocephalus (sperm whale), 738 nucleotides. RefSeq lists it as uncharacterized. Lineage: Eukaryota; Metazoa; Chordata; Mammalia; Artiodactyla; Physeteridae. The transcript is spliced from 4 exons. The record is from RefSeq and is a predicted model, not a curated record.
CCGCGGAGCAGCGGCGGCGGCCACACUGCGCAUGCUGCUGCCGCCCGGUUCGGCCCCGAGCCCCGGGCUGCCGCCGCCUGGCCUGCAGCGGGUCUCUGCCAGAACCUCGGGUGGGAAUCCCGGCCUCACAGAGCAGCCCUGCCUGAUGGCCCGCUUCCUCCUCCAGCCCCCGACGCAGCUCGGACCCCCCAAGCUCUAUGGUGAGCCGCUGAGACACCCCAGCAAGGAAGCGCUCUCCAGCGGCCCUCCACAUCCCUCCUUUCCCCCAGCUGUCCUGGCUGCCCUUCCCGGACUCUCGGAUAACAGGCCCCACAUCAGAUCGUCCCUUUGAUGGAGAAUGAAAAGAUGAGGAACCUGGAGCAGAGAGAGGCCAAGUAACUUUCCCCAGAGUCACACAGUCAGAGCCAAGACUCUGACCCAAGUCUGUCAACCUAGAGAAGGAUAUUAGUUCCCUGACCAAGGAUGGAACACUUUCUCCCUGCAGGGGAGGCACGCAGAGUCUCAACAACUGGACCACCGGGGAAGUCCAGAAGAAAGAAAGUCGAAGUCUAGAAAGAGAUUAAAGUAGGAGCGUCCCGUGACCCAGGCAAUCAAAAAUCUCCAGAGUGACAUUAUUGCUGCUCUCUUGUGGUAAGCAACCCCAAAGAUACUGCAAAUUUCCCUUACCUUUUCUAUAGAGCCAGGCCUAAGUCUGUUGAUCAGUUUGCAUAGCACUACCCCAUUUUUCAGCGAGGACUU